GUCCCAACCGUGCGGCCUCCGUGGCUGCCCCAAUGCGAAAGGAGUGAGUACCAAAACGUCCGGCCGGAAGCCCCAACUUACCUAGUCCGGACCGAAAAACCUUUGUAAACUGAAAUCGGGACAGGGAAGAACCAUCCGCAUGUACCAAGAAGGAACCCCCUACCGCCGGCCUCCGAGCCAUGUACUCCGCCACUGCAGCCACCGGGCACAAUACUGCGCCCGGCAGCGCCCAUAGUGUUACGUACCGACCCACGCCGCGGACGUCUGUUUUGGAUCUACCCAGAUGCACAACCACCUUACCCUCCAAAACACGGACCCCCGAGGCCUGCAGACCCCCGGGCAUGACCCUACUGGCACUCACUAGCUCCCCCACGCGGAACGUCCCGAAGAAUGCCAAGAGAAAAGCCGCUCUGAACAAAGAGACCUCGAACCCGUUGAAACAAAUUUCCGGCAACCGACCCACCAAAUCCCCCAACACCCGUACAGACACCGGACGCCGAGAGUCACAUGACCUGCGGCCCUUUCGAUAACCCUUUAACGCCUGCCGAACUAGGAAGGUCUUGGUCAGAUCCUCCGUCCCGCGCCACCGGAACCAGAAUGCCAUUGCCGCCAUGGACCUGUCGACCACAGCCGGGGACGCCCCCUUUGCCAGCAAUUGACAGGUGUACCACAGAAAAGCGUCCUGCAGCGCAUCCCCACGUAAGUCAUGAUCCAACCCGUCUAAUGACCGUUCCCAAGAGACCUUACUGUAGGAGGCCCAUGUGGCCGGUGCCAGCGAAGCCUUCACAAGUCCCCCAAGCAGGACGCUCCCAGCUGCCAUAUCUCGUCCGGGCAUGUCUGCCCCUCCUUCAAUGCUCCUGGCGCCAUCGUCCAAAAUCGGGACCACUGAAAAUGAGACAGAGCGUCAGCCACCUCAUUCAGGUACCCAGGGACAUGACGCGCGCGAAACACAACAUUCCGUGACAUACACAUUAACACAAAGCGCCGCAGCAACCUAACCACCGGCUUAGAGGCAGCCGAUUGAUUAUUCACCGCGUGCACCACCGCCAUGUUGUCCGAGAAAAAGACCACUUUCUGGUCCCGGAGCCCCUCGCCCCACAGUGCCAUUGCAACGACCAACGGGAAUAAUUCCAGAAAAGCCAGGUUGCGCAUGACCGGGCUGGACCCCCACGUCUCCGGCCACUGCUCCGCGCACCAUCUCCCGCCGAAGUAGGCUCCGAAGCCCACACUACCCGACGCAUCCGUGAAGAGCUCCAGCUCCGCCGCCGACUUACCCGCCUGCCGGAAAAACACCGUCCCGUUGAAAUCCUGCAGGAAGGCAUCCCAAACGCCCAAAUCAGCCCUCAUGGCUGCCGACACCCGUAUGAAGUGGUGUGGGGAUCGAACCCCUGCCGUAGCAGCCGCCAGGCUGCGGCUGAAAACCCUCCCCAUAGGAAUUACACGGCAUGCAAAGUUCAGCAUCCCGAUCAGCGACUGCAGUUGCCGCAGCGUAACCUUGCGCGCAACGGUCACCGCAGCCACUGCCUCCCUGAGCCCCUCCAGCUUGUCCCGAGGCAGCCGGCAUUCACCCAAGAUUGAAUCUAUUUCCAACCCCAGGAAACUAAGGCACGUCGCCGGGCCCUCCGUCUUAUCCGCUGCCAGCGGCACCCCGAAGUGGCCCGCCACCCAUUCCAUGGUCCUAAGCAGUUGCUGGCAUGCCGAGGAGGCAGCCGGCCCCACGCAAAAGAAAUCGUCCAAGUAGUGCACUACUGAACGGUUCCCCGCCUCCACCCGCACCACCCAUUCGAGAAAAGUACUAAAUUUCUUGAAAUAGAAACAUAGAAACAUAGAAUGUGACGGCAAGAACAAUUCGGCCCAUCUAGUCUGCCCAAUUUUCUAAAAACUUUCAUUAGUCCCUAGCCUUAUCUUAUAGUUAGGAUAGCCUUAUGCCUAUCCCAUGCAUGCUUAAACUCCUUUACUGUGUUAACCUCUACCACUUCAGCUGGAAGGCUAUUCCAUGCAUCCACUACCCUCCACUACCCUCUCAGUAAAGUAAUACUUCCUGAUAUUAUUUUUAAACCUUUGUCCCUCUAAUUUAAGAUUAUGUCCUCUUGUUGUGGACAUAGUCUUGCUGCCUCGGGACAAGCAUGAAAUGGAACAGCCCAUAGGGAGGCACAAGUCCACGAAAUAUUUCCCCUCGAAAAAACAUCCCAGCAGGUGGUGACAGUCCGGGUGGACCGGCAGCAGCCGAAACGCCGCCUCAACAUCCACUUUAGCCAUAAGCGCCCCAUGCCCGGCCCGUUUAACCAGCUCGACCGCCCGGUCGAAUGAUGCAUACGAGACCGAGCACAAGUCCUUAUCAAUACCGUCAUUCACCGACUCCCCUUUUGGGUAGGAGAGGUGGUUAAUGAGCCGGAACUUCCCCGGCUCCUUCUUUGGCACCACCCCGAGAGGGGAAACCCGGAGGCCCUCCAAUGGGGGUACCGUAAACGGGCCCGCCAUCCGCCCUAGCGCAACCUCCUUGUCUAGUUUUUCCCGUACCACCCCCGGGAAAUCCGCCACCGACUUCAGGUUGCGCAACCCCCCCGAUCCCCCCCGCUCCCGGAAGGGGAUAAAGAAGCCCCGCCCGAAGCCUUCCCGAAGUACCGAGGCAUCAGCCCUGUUACCGUAGCGGCUUAGCCACGGCUCCAUCGCGUCUAGCCUCACCGGUGUGAAGCCCCGGGGCAGGGGAAGCACUCCCUCCGGCCCCGGCGGCCGCUCCGGCGGUUCCCGCCUUCCCUUUUUUGAAACAGCGAUUGAGCCCAUGAGCACCCCCGCAACCGGAGCACUCAUGCUUAAAUCGACACGCAUUUCCCCAUUUGCACUGGCCCUCAUUGUAGAGCCAGCAGAAGCCCUUUUGUAAAGCGGCCGACGAGGCGGACUGCCCCUUCGCGCCGGCCGAGUUUUGAAAGGGCUGCGCCUUCUGAGCCAUCAUUAGCUUCAUCCAGAGAGGCAGAUCCAUCUGAUCCCACCUCAUACCCGGGUUAGCCGCCAGUCGCUGCCUAAACUGUUCAUCGUACCGCCACCAUGCCAGCCCCCCAUAGGUGCGGUAUGCUUCCCAAAUGCCGUCCAAGUAGCAAAACAGGGACGAGCAUAAUCCCGGCGAUUUUUCACCGAGCACGCUGGCCAGCACGCAAAACGCCCUUAACCAGUUACCAAAGGAUUUUGGAAUCUUGCGAUACCGCUUCCUCUUCUCCUC
This 3217-nucleotide long non-coding RNA is filed under the name Pelobates cultripes (western spadefoot toad). Lineage: Eukaryota; Metazoa; Chordata; Amphibia; Anura; Pelobatidae. The record is from RNAcentral.